This is a long non-coding RNA of Clupea harengus (Atlantic herring), 576 nucleotides long. The record is from Ensembl. NCBI's taxonomy places the organism in Eukaryota, Metazoa, Chordata, Actinopteri, Clupeiformes, Clupeidae.
GUAAGUAGAUAUAUGAGCAGACUCAUCCCUCUAGCCCACCUCGGGGUUAUUGCCAACUAUCAACAACAUCCAAGCCAAUGACGAUGCUAUGGUUCUAGUGAUUGACUGGUUAAAGAACAGUGUUGAGAAUGCCAUACCUCAGCACCGGCCAGGCUACUCGGAGCCUUCCUCGAGAAGGACAACCCCCUGUUCUGAAAAAGUUUAUUCACCACCUCCGGAGUCCCUCACCAGCGCAAAUGACGAGGACACAAAAAACUCAAAUGUGGUGGGCUGGAUUAUUCAUGGUCUGGGCCGUAUGAUGCCGCAGCCGGCGUUGAAAGGAAGCGAUGAUUCCGGAGAGAAUGGUGGCAUUGUGGUACAAAAUGGGGGGAGAGCUCUGAGAGCCCCUUAAACAAAAGGAGAAAGAAGACUGAGGAACUGUCUGUAAAAAUCACAUGAUCUCACUUACAGAGCCACUUACAUCCCUUACGUUACAAUAGCAUUAGAAAAGACAGUAGUGCCCAUUUAUCAUUUUCAGAGAUGUUCAAGCUCGAAGGAGCAAUAAGGCAGCUUUACAUUGACUUUGAUGUUCUAAAC